RNAcentral lists this ribosomal RNA (386 nucleotides) under Enterococcus lactis. RNAcentral describes it as "partial 23S ribosomal RNA". It matches the Rfam family "Bacterial large subunit ribosomal RNA", at positions 1 to 387 of the family's 2925-position model. Lineage: Bacteria; Bacillati; Bacillota; Bacilli; Lactobacillales; Enterococcaceae. The record is from RNAcentral.
GGUUAAGUGAAUAAGGGCGCACGGUGGAUGCCUUGGCACUAGGAGCCGAUGAAGGACGGGACUAACACCGAUAUGCUUUGGGGAGCUGUACGUAAGCUAUGAUCCAGAGAUUUCCGAAUGGGGGAACCCAGCAUCUUUAAUAGGAUGUUACGAUUGUGUGAAUACAUAGCACAUUCGAGGUAGACGCAGAGAACUGAAACAUCUAAGUACCUGCAGGAAGAGAAAGAAAAUUCGAUUCCCUGAGUAGCGGCGAGCGAAACGGGAAAAGCCCAAACCAACAAGCUUGCUUGUUGGGGUUGUAGGACUCCAAUAUGGUCGUUCUUUCAGAUAGUCGAAUGACUUGGAAAAGUCAGUCAAAGAGGGUAAAAACCCCGUAGACGAAAUGU